AGUCAAUGCUAGAAAUGGACGUUUAGUUAUUGAAUCCCGCUAACGAGGGGAGCCAACAAGAGAGGGAUGUCGGCAUCGGGUGUGCGGUUCCAAGAACUGAUUGGCUGUGGAGAUUAGAAGUUAGGAACCUUUGCAACGGAAAGCGGCCUCGGGCAGGCGCCUUUUGAGCAGAGGAGUAAAACCGGUAAGUCAGCAGUGGAACCCGCCUCCCCGGAAAUCCUUGGAGGGGGCGGGGCCCUGGGGAGCGCGCUCUUCCCAGCGGCAGCUGGGGAGGCGCAUGCGUACUUGCGUCAUCGUUGGGUAGCAGCGGGGAGGCGUGGGAGGAUCUGAGGCCUGCGGUGGGCCUUGGUCCCUUCUCUCCCCGCCCCGAAGCCGCCUGCUCAACCUGAGGGCCACCGGCCUCUAUCCGUCGGUGCCGAUGCUCCUUGCUUCCCAGCCAGAGCGUCUCAUCUCUGGGCCCGGAGCCCCAGGCUCGUUCUCCUCAGCCCCUGCCGGCGGCGGCGCUCUUGCAGCCAUUCCUGUGAGGUCGUUUUUCGGAGCAGCCGGGCCGGCCGAGGAGUAAGUAGGCGCCAGAGUUCUAGCUCGGGCAUCUGCCUCGGGGCCCUGUCGCCGCCGCGCCCCGGAUCCUGCGUUGGUCCUGUCCGAUAAAGCGGAGGUCGGCCCUGCUUGCUGACGAGACCGUAAAAACCACGGCGCUUGGCGCCCUGCCGCCGCCACACCACACCAAAGUGUACCUGCCCGAGGCUGGCUUCGGGCGCGAGCUUGCAUUUGUGACUUUCUCUUACCGUCUUUGUUUGCUUCGUUUUAAGUAUUACUUCCAGAUAAGGGACACAUUCUCGAAAUACUUUGAAAACAGUUUUGAAUUUUGUUCCUCCCGUUGAAACGGAUUAAAUUUGGACCUUUCAAGCUACACUGUGCAAUCAUCAAUCUCAAUAAGCUCUUAAUAGGCUCAUUCUUCCGUAGGCUACAAACAAAAUAAAGAUCAUAACAUCCUGCGGAGGAAGCCAUUGGUCCAUGUAGAGUCGCCAGAUGUCAAUUAAGAGUAGAUCGCUUUUCAGAGAAUACUUAACGACUCUGGUUUAGACCUAGACUUGGAACUUUGAGGUGUUUGGAACACUGGGCAGAAUUUUCCUUUGUUACAAAACAAAGUUUAUGAGAACGUAAUUUGUUUUUGUUGUUUUUGUUGUUAGUAUUGAAGCAAUUUUGGUGCAAACCAAAGGAUAACAAAGCAAAACAAUGAAAAUCACCCAGAGUUCCAUUACCCACACUGAACCAACUUGAAUAUAUUGGUUUAUUUUGGCUUUUUUCCAUAUGAAAUGUUAAAUUUUCUUGUACUCACGUGUAGAAUAUGAUAGUUUGCUCUUUCAUGUAACAUGUCUCCCAAUUUUUACAUACAUAAUUCUAGUUUCAGUAAGCAUUUUUAUAACUACACUCUUUUUCCUUUGUUAUUGUAUGUCUAGGUUAUUUCAACUUUGCACUGUUGCUUGUAACUACUAUGUGAUGAGGCAGUAGCUAGAUUAGUAUUUAGAACGUGAGCAUUCAAGUCAGGCAGACCUGGGCUUCACAACUUACUGUGCAAUUUCAAAGAGUUUAACUUUUUUGAGCCUCAUUUUACACAGUAACAUGGGGAUAAUGGUUCUGAUUGCAUAGAAUUAUUAUGAGAGUAAGAUGAAAUAAUGAGUGGAAGUGCCUGCAGCAUGUAUUGUUAGUAAAUGCUGUAUUACUGCAGGCAAAUUUUUCUUUUGUUGUGGUUUUUUGGUGACAUGUAUGAUUUAUUUCCAGAUUUUGAAUAUACUUAAAUACUAUUAACCACAGUAGGGGUAUGGGGUUUGAUCCACAGCUUUUCAUAUAUUUUAUACAAUAUAUUGUGUGUUUGAUACACAGCUUUUCAUAUACUUUAUUAUAAGUAACACAUGAAUUAGAAAUAAUUUUUCACAAUAGGAAAAACUUUUUAAAAAUUAAAAUUUAUAAUCCUGCUAACCGUAGGUGAAUAGUCACAUUUUGGGCAAUCCUUUUUUAUGCAUAUAUAUGUAGUGGUUUUAUUUUAUUUUAUUUUAUUUUUAUUUUUUGAAACGGAGUCUUGCUCUGUUGCUCAGGCUAGGGUGCAAUGGUGCGACCUCGGCUCACUGCAACCUCCGCCUCACGGGUUCAAGCAAUUCUCCUGCCUCAGCCUCCCGAGUAGCUGGGAUUACAGGCGCCCGCCGCUGCGCCCGGCUAAUUUUUAUAUUUUUAGUAGAGACGGGGUUUCACCAUCUUGGCCAGGCUGGUCUCGAACUCCUGACCUCGUGAUCCACUCGCCUCAGCCUCCCAAAGUGCUGGGAUUACAGGCAUGAGCCACCGUGCUGGGCCUGUAGUGUUUUCUAAAAAUAGAAUUAUAUUAUAAAUUGGGUUUAUCAACUUGCUGAAAAUGGCAGAGGCCAGUGCGAUGAGAGUAGGGUGAUUAAGGGAGUAGGAAGUAAUGCAGGAAAGGGAGUUUGUAGGAUUUAGAUUUCACUGAAAGUGUACUGGACAGGUUGGGCAUAGUGGCUCAGGCCUGUAAUUGUGUCACUUUGGGAGGCUGAAGUGGAAAGAUCCCUUAAGCCCAGGAGUUCGAGCCAGCCUGGGCAACAUAGGGAAACCCUAUCUCUAUAAAAUAAAAAUAAAAAUAAUUAUUUUGAAAAAAAAGUUUACUGGACAGAGUAAGUUCAGGGUUGAGGAGUGACCUGAUUUGUUUUAGAAGGCUCAUUUGGCUGCCAUAUGGAGAUAGACUGCAAGGGACCAGGGGAGGAAGAUGCAAUCCAAUUAGGAGAGUAUUUAAGUAAUCUCUGUGAGAGAUGGUGUUAGUUUCGAUCAGGGUGUAAGUAGGGAAAAAUGAUUGGGUUCUGGAUAUAUUUUGAAGGGAGAAGUUAUAGGAUUCACUGAUUGAUGGGAUGUGGAAUUCAAGAGAAAGUGACUUAAAGAAUUUUGGUUUGGGCAGUUAAACAGAUACAGUUGCUACUUACCAAGAUAGAGACUGAAAGUUGGGGGAAACUAAAUAGAGUUCUGUUUCAGUCAUGUUACCUGUUGUGGAGUCUAACUAGUUGGAACAGGAGUAUGAAAGACUUAAUCUUCUGUUCUUGAGGUAUCAAUUUGUCCCUUCAUUUCUGUCAGUUUUUGCUACAUAUAUUCUGUUACUAGGUGCAUCUAUCCUUGUAAAUUGUUACAUCUUCCUUGUGGGUUUAUCCUUUUAUCAUUAAAAAUGUUUCUCUUUUUCUCUAGUAACAUUGUUUUAAAGUCUAUUUUGUCUGAUAUUAAUGUAGCUAUUUCAGUUCUCACGUGAUUACUAUUUACAUGCUUUGUAUCAUUGACUCUAAAAUGUGUCUCCUGUAGACAUAUAGUUGGAUCUUGGUUUGUUUUUUGUUUGUUUGUUUGUUUUUUGUUUUGAGACAGAGUCUUGCCCUGCCUCCUUGGCUGGAGUACAAUGGCGUGAUCUGGGCUCACUGCAACCUCCACCUCCCGGGUUCAGACGAUUCUCCCACCUCAGCCUCCCCAGUAACUGGGAUUACAGGGGCCCGCCACCACGCCCAGCUAAUUUUUGUAUUUUUAGUAGAGACGGGGUUUCACCAUGUUGGCCAGGCUGGUCUCAAACUCCUGACCUUGUGAUCCACCUGCCUCGGCCUCCCAAAGUGCUGGGACUACAGGCAUGAGCCACUGUGCCUGGCCGGAUCUUGUUUUUUUUAAUCUGAUAAUUUCUGCCUUUUGAUCCAAUUGUUUAAUCAUUCACAUUUAAUGUUAUUGAUAUAGUUGGAUUUAUGUAUGCCAUCUUAUUUUUGUUUUCCUUAUGUCUUGUCUUUUUCUUUUCCUGUCUCUCCUUUACUGCUUUGUUUUGGAUCAAGUGAAUAUCUUCUAAUGUAGCAUUUUAAUUUCUUGAAUGAUUUUUUACACUGUUUUAAGUUUUUUUUAGAGACUGUAGUGGUGCUCUAGGGCUUACCGUACAAUUAGCUUAACUUAUUAGAAUCAGCUUCAGAUUUAUACUAACUCAAUUGCAGUGAGAUAUAGAAACCUUACUCCAAUAUAGUUUUAUUCCAUGUCCCUGUUUUUUUGUGGUUUUGUUGUUGUACAUGUUAUAGUUGUUACAAACUCAACAAUACAUUACUACAAUUAUUACUUUUACAUCAUUUAAAGAAAAUGAACAAAGGAAAGCAAAUAUAUAUUUGUAGCUUUUGUUAUAGUAACCUUAUUUAUCAUUUCAGGUUGUUUGUUUAUUUUUCUUGUGGAUUCAUUACCAUCUGGAGUAAUUUUGUUUUCUUUUUCUUUCUUUUUUUUUUUUUUGGAGGGAUAACAGGGUCUUGCUCUGUUGCCCAGGCUGCUGGAGUGCAGUGUCAUGAAUAUAUCUCACUGUAGCGUCAAACUCCUGGACUCAAAGUGAUCCUUCCACCUCAACCUCCUGAGUAGCUGGGACUACAGGCACAUGCCACCAGGCAUGGCUAAUAUUUGUAUUUUCUGCACCUCAGCCUUCUGAGUAACUAUAUUACUCUAUAAGCACACAUCACCACACCCAGCUAAUUUUUAAAUUUUUUAUAGAGACAGAGUCUCACUGUGUUGCUCAGGCUGGUCUCUAACUCCUGGCCUCAAGUGAUCCUCCAGCUCUGGCCUCCCAAAAGUGCUGGGAUUACAGGCAUGAGUUCUUUGUAUGAGUUCCUUGUAUAUUUUGGAUAUUAACCCCUUGUUAGAUAAAAGGUUUUUCAGUAUUUUCUCCCAUUCCGUGGACUGCCUUUUCAUUUUGUUGUUUCCUUUGCUGUGCAGAAGCUUUUUUGUUUGGUUUAGUUCCAUUUGCUUAUUUUUGCUUUUGUUGCCUGUGCUUUUGGUGUCAUUUACAAAACAAACAAACAAAAUUAUUGCCAAGACUAAUGUCAUGGAGCUUUUCCACUGUUUUCUUCUAGUUUUACAGUUUCAUGUCUUACACUUAAGUCUUUUCACUUUUUUUUUUUUUUGAGACAGAGUCUCCCUCUGUUGCCCAGGCUGGAGUGCAGUGGUGUAUGAUCUUGACUCACUGCAACCUCCACCUCCUGGGUUCAAGUGAUUCUCCUGCCUCAGCCUCCCGAGUAGGUGGGAUUAUAGGCAUGUGCCACUGUGCCCGGUUUAUUUUUGUAUUUUUAAUAGAAAUGGGGUUUCACCAGGCUGGUCUUGAACUCCUGACCUCAAGUGAUCCACCCGCCUCAGCCUCUCAAGGGACUAGGAUUACAGGCAAGAGCCACUGCGCCUGGCCUCUUUUAACCAUUUUGAAUUGACUUUUGUGGAUGGGGUAAGAUAAGGGUCCAAUUUCAUUUCUUGGCAUGUGGUUAUCUAGCUUUUUCAACACCAUUUAUUAAAGAGACUAUCCUUUCUUUAUUGUGUACUUUUGACACCUUUGUUGAUGAUUAGUUGGCCACAUAAACGAGGAUUUAUUUCUGGGAUUCCUAUUCUGUUCCAUUGGUCUAUAUGUCUCCUUUUAUGCCAGUACCAUACAGUUUUGAUUACUGUAGGUCUGUAAUAUAAUUUGAAAUGAAGUGUGAUGCCACCAGCUUUGUUCUUCUUGCUCAGGAUCAUUUUAGAUAUUCUGGGUCUUUUGGGUUCUGUAUGGAUGUUAGGAAUUUUUUUUUUUUUUCUGUGAAAAAUGUCAUUGGAGUUUUGCUAGAGAUUGCGUUGAAUCUGUAGACUACUUUGUGUAUUGCAGACAUUUUGACAAUAAUGAUUCUUCUGAUCCUGAACAUGGGAUAGCUUUCCAUUUAUUUGUGUCAUCUCCAGUUCUUUCAUAUAUGUAUUAUAGCUUUUAGCAUACACAUCUUUCCCCUCCUUGGUAAAACUUAUUCCUAAGUAUUUUAUUCCUUUUGAUGCUAUUGUAAAUGGGAUUGCUUUCUUAAUUUCUUUCUUGGAUACUUCACUGUUAGUGAAGUGUAAUUGAUUUUUGUAUGUUGAUUUUGUAUCCUGAAACUUUACUGGAUUCGUUUAUUCAUUCUAACAGUUUUUAGUGGCGUAUUUAGGGUUUUCUGUAUAUAGGAUGAUGUCACCUGCAGAGACAAUUUUACUUCUUCCUUUCUGAUUUGGAUGCCUUUUAUUUCUUUUCCUUGCCUAAUUUCUGUGGCUAGGAUUUCUAGUACUAUGUUGAAUGUAAGUGAUAAGUGUGGGCAUCCUUGUCUGUCCUUGUCACAUUCAGUUGUAUGUGCAAUACUGGAACCAUCCAGCUCAUAGUCACGUAAUUCCUCUUUGUGCAGCCUCAUGUAAAAUCACACCCCUAUUCACAUUUUUUUCUGUCUGUCUCCCACCUCUCCAGGUCCCUGCCCUGCAACUUUCAGUUACUUCAGACUCUCAGAAGACUAGCCUCUAAAUACCUCAAUUUAUCUGCACUACUGUGGUCUACUUGAAAUUCUCUUCCCUCUUCUGCAGUUUGUAAUGGCAUUCAGGCCAAAAACUGUAGUAGUUUUAGGGCUCUCUUCAUUUGCUUCUCUGCUCCUAGGGAUCAUAGUGCUGUGCUAUCUGUUGUCCAGCAUCUGACACAGUUGGUUUUAUAUUUUGUCUGGUUUUCUAGUUAUUAAGCAGGUUAAGUCUGGUUCCUGCUGUUCUAUAUAGCAGGAAGCAAAGGUUCUCUCAUGAAUUUUUAGCAUAAUAACAUAAGCGUGGAUUCCAAAAAUUCAUUACACAGAUCCUGGAAAUCUGUUUACUAUGUUUUAUACAUUCUGUGAAAGCUGGAGAAUAUAUAUUUGUUUUACUAUGUGUAUCGCAAAUAAAAUAUCAAUUUCAUGUGCCAGAGAAUUGAAUACAUUAUCAAAGGGUCAUUUCAUAACGUUAUAAUCACCAUCCAUCCUGUAAGUCCUUUGAAAUUUCUUCUUUUCUAUGGAUCUAACAUUGAUCAAUAACGAAUUCCUAAGCAUCUAUAUUAGUUAGCCCAGUGUUUCUCAAAGUCCACCGCAUGUAAAAAUCAUCUAGGGAAUCUUUCUAAAAUGUGGAUUCUGAUUUAGUAGGUCUGGGGUGAGGUCUUCCCUUUUGCAAUUCCAGCAAGUUCCCAUGGGAUGCUGGUACUGGUUAAUGGAAGUCACUUAGAGUAGCAAGGAGCCUGUUUGCCUAGUAUUUACAAUGAGCACGUUUUGGGUAUCAUCAAAACAAGAGAAUCUAAAAAUGUAUGGUGUGGGUGGAAGGUUGUGUUACUUGAUAUUUCAAAAAGAUCAUUGAAAUCAGAAAAUCUCAGAGAUAUGUUGGAUUUCAUCACAUUUAUUCUAUGGCUUAAUGUUGUUUUAUUUUGAAUAUAUAAUAAGAGAGAUACCACAAAUCUUUAGCUAUUAAUAUUUAGGGAUGUUAAUGUCCUUAAUUCAUAUUGUCUCAAAUGUGAUUCAUUCCCUCUAUAGGUAUACUAAAACAGGCAUUCAUGCCUACAAAACCAUCUUCCUAACUUUCUUUCCUCUUUUUAGUCUCUUCCUGAACCAGUGACAGUGGUUCUCAAACAUUUUGGUCUGAGGACCCCUUUAUGGCCUUAAAAAUGAUCGAAGAGCUUUUAUUUAUGAAGGUAAUACCUGCUAAUACUUGUUGUAAUCUAUUAACAUUGAGAAAUGUAAAAAUUUUUAUUAAUUCACUUAAAAUAUCAAUAAACCCAUUAUUUGCUAAUAUAAAUUGCACUUUUUAAUGAAAAAUAACUUUAGUUUCUACUGUGUGCUUCUGCAUUUUGAAAAUAUGUCUAGGAUACGGUAUGUAUUUAGGAGAUAUUUUCUAAAUAAAUGCAUAUUCAUUUUUUAAAAUGGGACAAAUGUAGCAUAGACAUAUUUUUGCUAACAAUAUCCAUAUAGUUGCAAAUUUCACUUUUAGAAUUUGCUUUCAAAAACAGGUUGUUUAUUCUUCUUUGUUAUGCCUUAGUUAGUAAAUCAUAUAUUAUAAAACUUCUUCAAUGCAAUUGGUCUUUGGUCAGCCAUUGACAUAGGAAGAGUUAGAAAGAGUCCAGGGCUCCUUGGUACUGGCUGUGACUGGAUAAGUAGGUUGUGGCUUAGUUUGUGUUUAGGUGUCAUAACUAGGCUAGGUUUGGGUCCCAGAAAGUGCUAGCCUUACUGUAGGAGAGGAAGUGGUAUUGCUGGGUGUGUCCUCAGGUCAGGAAGUGGGACGAGUGCAGUAUGGAAGCCCAGGGGGGUCCUUGUGACUGGAGGAAAGGUGAGGUUUCCAGUAAAGGAUUCAGAAUUCGGGCAUGGUGCAGCAUGCCUAUAGCCCCAGCUACUCAGGAGGCUGAAGUGGGAGGAUCACUUGAGACCAGGAGUUCAAGGUUGCAGUGAGCUGUCAUUGCGCCACUGCACCCCAGCCUGGGUGACAGAGUGAGACCUGUCUCAAAAAUAAAUACAUAAAAAUAAUAAUUAAAAAAAAAGGAUUCAGAAUUCUAGAAUACAUAUUAUCUUUCUAUCAUGCAGAUCUGUUCUUAGGAUUGUAUUUUCCAAAUCAUGAAUAAAAUAAUUUCCAAAAUACUUAUUGGGAAAUUAUAUAUAUGUACUGUAUUACUUGGAAUAAAAAUCAAAUAAAAGUCAAACUUCUUAAUGUGGCUGUAAAGCCUUGAUUAUUUAAACCUUGCCUAUUUUUCAGUUUAAUCUUUCAGCCACACUGGCCCUUGUGUUAAUCCUAAAACAUGCCAUGCUUUUUCCUACAUUAAAGCUUAGGGUUUUUGAUAUUUCUACUGCCUGGAUUUCUCUGUUCUCACUCUUCCUCUUGAUCACCAUGACUUAUUUUUCAAGUGUUGGCUUAAAUGUCCGUCUCACAGAUAGCCCUUAUCUAAAUAACAGCUUUCCCUCUGGUUCCUAGAUAAAUUAGGACCUGUUUUUUUCUAUAACUUUCUUAAAGUAUCCUAUUAUUUUCCCUGAUAAAACCUUGUUGGACUGUUUGUCAGUAUAUUUAUUUGCCUGUUUGUUUGGUGUCAGUUUCUCUUUUUUUCCUGUGUGUUUUGUUUGUUUGUUUUUUUGAGACGCAGUUUCACUCUGUCACCAGGCUGGAGUGCAAUGGUGCAAUCUCGGCUCACCACAACCUCCACCUCCCAGGUUCAAGCAAUUCUUCUGCCUCAGCCUCCCGAGUAGCUGGGAUUACAGGCAUGUGCCACCAUCCUGGCUAAUUUUGUAUUUUUAGUAGAGACAGGGUUUUUCCAUGUUGGUCAGGCUGGUCGCAAACUCCCGACCUCAGGUGAUCCGCCUGUCUUGGCCUCCCAAGGUGCUGAGAUUACAGGCGUGAACCACCGCACCCGGCCUGUUUGUUUGUUUUCUUAUUAGACUAUAAACUAUAUGAGAUCAGACCAUGUCUCUUUUGUUUAUCACUCUGGCCUACCUGCUAACACAGUGCUUACACAUAAUAGUAGGUGCUCAAGAAAUACAGUGUUUGAUGGAUGAACGUAAAAUUGUAAGAGCCUGAACUAGUGUAAUAUCGAAAAUAGGGAGGAAGACAUGAAUUAGGAAAGCCUUUGAAAAAUUAGCAUGUUCUGUGAUAAAGCUACAUCUAGGCAAUAUUUUUUGAUACUUUUAAAAAAAAAACUGUAAUAGCUACCCAAUAUUUAGGAAUGAUACACAUCACACAUCUCAGUGAGGUAUGUAGCCUUUUGUACUGGUGAAGAGAGCCAGGUGAAGUCUAACUCUAAGGAUCUAAACACUCCAUUCUAGUAGAGAGCCUGGAGAAGUGCUCUUGCAUAAGCUCAUCCAUGUAAGACCAUCCAUAACUUAGUGAAAUAAUUUUCAUUGCUGUUUAGUUGCAAAAAUCACUCACUGUUUUGCCUCCAUAAGAUUAUCGGUUUUAGUGUUUAAUCGUUCACAGCCUUGUCAAAACCAAAAUGGCUAGGGAGAGAACUAUUUCCCUACAUUAAAACUUCGAGCAAUGCUCUUCAUAGAUUUUGUUUUGAAUUGUUUAGGCCCAUCUCAGAGUUCAAGACACUUAGUCUCUUCUAAGAGAAAUCAUGGUCACAACAAACAGAGAUUAAAUAAAGAGCAAGAAAUUAGAAGAAACUCAAACCAUUCACUUAGAUUAUUUGUUAGAUUUUGGCCUUAAAAAGAGACAAAGUUGCUUGAAACAAGUGAUUAAACUGACAUUUUUAGAUUAUUAUUUUAUUCAUACCUUUAUUGUGAAUAAAUUGGCCACAUGAUAACAUUUUAUAAUGUUAAAUAAAUAUGAUAUAUAUAAAUCUGUAUACCACAACAAUUAAAUUGGAGGGCGAUUUGCCAUUUAAAUAAUUUAUCAUAGGAUUUUUAUAAGAUCAAGCGCUUAGUGCAUAUCAAAGAGACAGAAAGUUUUCAUUGCAGUUCUGCACGUUCACUGAGUACCUUUUAUGUACCAGUUGCAUUGUUCUAGAAUCUUAUCUAUCAUGUAAAGCUAGGUACACCUGAAAUAGUUUAGUUAUGGUGGCAAAGUUAGACUGCAGUUAUUGGCUGGGAAUUUUUUGUAUAUCUAUGUACAUCUUCCAUAAGAGGGCAGCAAAGGACCAGCAUGAUUUUUUCCUUAUCAUGAAGUCAUAGCAGAGAUUGCCUCAUAUUGCAAACUUAAUAGAAAUCUUCUCAGAGUAAGGGCAAACAGAGGGCAUGGUUACAAGUUUACUUACUGUCUAGCCUGUCUUUUAUAUGGUCUGAUAUGGCUUUUUAGUACAUAGAUUAUCUCACAUCACAGUGAUAGCCUAGUGAUUAAAUGUUGAUCCUGGGGUCAGUUGUCAGGCUUUAAAUCCUGGAACCAUAACUUAACUAGCUUCGUGGUCUAGAAAGACUACUCAGUCUUUCUGAGCCUCAGUUUCUUCCUCAAUUUUUUAUAAAAAGGAGGGCAAGGGAUAGUAACAAUGCCACUUCACAUGGUUUUAAUAAACAAAAUAAAAUUUGUGUCCUGAAGAGGCUAAGAACAGUUAAAAGGUGGAGCUAGAAAAACCACCCUAUACUAGCCUUAGGUGUAUUGUAUUUAUUUAAGUUAAACUCUUAUUAAAAAGAGUCUCAUAAAGGAAAAUAUAGGUCAUUACUUUCUGUAACUACUUAGUAUUUUUAGUUAACUAACAUAUAUAUCUAUGUACUGACCAAUUAUUUGCUCGUACAAUUUAUCAAACCAAUUAAAUAUACACUGUUAAAUUUAUUUCCCUGUCCCCCGAGACAGAUCCUGGCUACGUUGCCCAGGCUGGAGUGCAGUGGCGCGAUUUUGGCUCACUGCAACCUCUGCCUCCCAGGUUCAGGCAAUUCUCCUGCCUCAGCCUCCUGAGUAGCUGGGAUUACAGAGGCCUGCCACCAUGCCUGGCUAAUUUUUGUAUUUUUAGUAGAGAUGGGAUUUCACCAUGUUGGCCAGGGUGGUCUCAAACUCCUGACCUCAGGUGAUCCAGCCGCCUCGGCCUCCCAGAGUGUUGGGAUUACAAGCAUGAGCCAGCACGCCUGGCCUGAAAAUACAUUUUGAUGAACAAAAAAUUUUUAAUUUUUUUUUUUUUUUUUUUCCUGAGACAGAGCUUUGCUCUGUCACCCAGGCUGGAGUGCAAUGGCGUGAUCUUGCCUCACUGCAACCUAUGCCUCCUGGGUUCAAGCAAUUCUCCUGCCUCAGCCUCCCGAGUAGCUAGGAUUACAGGCAUGGGCCACCAUGCCCGGCUAAUUUUUUGUAUUUUUAGUAGAGACGGGAUUUCACCAUGUUUGCCAGGCUGGUCUCAAACUCCUGACCUUGUGAUCCGCCCCCGUGGCCUCCCAAAGUGCUGAGAUUGCGGGCGUGAGCCACCACUCCCAGCCAAAAAUUUUUUAAUUUUAAAAGUCAAUGUAUAUCAUUUGUAUUUUAUAGUUAGUGCUUUUUUUGUAUUGUUUAAAUUUUUAAAAUUCUUCCAUUAAUCUAAAAUAUUUUCAUGUGUGCUUUCUACUAAGAGAAUUUAAGUUUUGUUUUUGACAUUAUAGUUUUUAAUACAUUUGGAUUUGGAUCUUAUAUCUUGUAUGAUACAGAACUCUAAUUUUCGCCUUUAACUACAUGCAUAAUCAUUUUUUCCACCUCCACUUAUUGAAUAGUUCCUAAUUUUCCCAUCAAUAUCAUGUGUUUCUUCUGGCAUAGCCAAAGUCCCAUAAAUGUGUGGGUCUGUUGUAGUUUCCUAUUUAAUUCAGUUAAUUUGUCCAAUUUGUUUUAUUAUGCCUUAAUUACCACAGCUUCACAGUAAGUCUUUAUGUCUGAUAGGGCAGCUUCCUCUAGUGUCUUCAGAAAUUUCCUGACUUUAAAAAAAAUCCUUAUUGUUCAUGCUUUUUUAAAGAAUUAGCUUUACAUGAUGCAAGAAAAAGAUCUGUUGGAAUUUUGAUUGUAAUUUUGUUAAAUCUAUAGGUCAACUAAUUACAAUAUUGAAUCUUCUUAUGCACAAACAUGGUAUAUUUCUCCAUUUAUUCAGGUCUUUAUUUAAUGUCUCCUAAUGUCUUUUUGUAGUUUUUACUUAGAGAUCUUACAUAUUUGUUAUUAUAUUUACUCCUAGGUACUUGGUAUUCUCUAAGAUUAUUGAAAAUGCUGUCUUCUUUUUAAUUACAUUUUCAGGUAUUUGUCAUUGGUAUAAAGAAAUGUAUUUGACAAUAAUCUUAUAUUCACCUUAAAUUCUCUUAUUUCUAAUAAAUUGUACUUUUUUUGGUUUUCUACAAAAAUGAUCAUAUCUAAAAAUAAAGUUAGAUUUGUUUAUUCUUCUGCAUCAUUUUGAAUUCAGUUUAUUAUUUCAUGUGCUAUUAGAACCUUUAAUUUAGUAUUAUUUAUUUUUUGAUUUGUAAAUCGGAAUGCUUUUAUUAUCUUUUCAUUUAGGAUGAUGUUUACUGUAGGUUACUUAGAUACGCUCUAUGGAAAUCUCUUUUAUUUUUUCUAAGACCUUUUAUUAUGAAUUUAAUGUUGAAUUUUAUCAAAUGCUUUCUCUGCAUUUAUUAGAAUAAUUAUGAUUUUUCUCUAUCUGUUAUUAUAAUGGGUCAGAUUUAUAGAUUUUUCUCAUACUAAGCCUAUCCUUGUAUUCCUUGGAUAAAUCUAACUUGGUAAUGUUUACUUUUUUCAUAACUUUUAGCUAUUAAGUAGAUACCAAAUUUUCUUUCAAGGUCAAGUUUGAUAGUUAUAAAAAACUAGUGAUACUAAGUCAUAGAAAAUAUACUUUAAAAAACUAGUGAUACUAAGUCAUAGAAAAUAUACUUUAUUUUAUAAAAAGACUUUAACUGUAAAAAGUAAAAAAAAAAAAAAAAAAAAAAAAAAAAAAAAAAAAAACCUGGCCGGGUGCGCUGGCUCACCCCUGUAAUCCCAGCACUUUGGGAGGCCGAGGCAGGCAGAUCACGAGGUCAGGGGAUCGAGACCAUCCUGGCUAACACGGCGAAACCCCGUCUUUACUAAAAAUACAAAAAAUCAGCCGGGCGUGGUGGUGGGCGCCCGUAUUCCCAGCUACUCGGGAGGCUGAGGCAGGGGAAUGGCGUGAACCCUGGGGGGGCGGAGCUUGCAGUGAGCCAAGAUUGCGCCACUGCACUCCAGCCUGGGAGACAGAGCAAGACUCUGCCUCAAAAAAAAAAAAAAAAAAAACCCCUAGAAUUUUAAUUACUGCCUUUACUUUUAAUUCAGUGGUUUUUAGUAUAUUCACAGAGUUGUGUAACAAUCACCAUGAUCAAUUUUAGCAUAUUUUUAUUACUUCAAAAAGCAACUCUGGACUCAUGAGCAGUCAUUCACUCCCCAUCUGCUCCCAACCCCUUUGUUCCCAUCCGCCCACCCAGCCCUAGGCAGCCACUAAUCUACUUUCUGUCUCUACAGAUUUGCCUGUUCUGGACCUUUCAUAUAAAUGCAAUCAGGCAAAAGAAAGGAGAUUUCAGUGCUCAGUGUUGCCAGGUAUCUCUGCCUCCAGUUUUGCACCUUCCUGGAAAGCUCAUUUUGUUCAGAUUGUCUGCCUGCCUCUAUCUAUCCUGCCUUCAGUGGAUGGCAGAGAUUUCAUCUCUUUUGUUUGCACAGCCUUGAAAGGUGCUUGAUACAGAGAUGCUUGGUAAAUACUUGCAGAAUAAAUUAUAAAAGUAACACAUACUCAUAAAAAUUUUAAAGUAAAAAUAUGUAUAGUAAUAAACACUUGGUGCUUAUUACAUAUCAUCCAGUGGGAUAAAUGCUUGUAAGUAUAGUCAGCCUUCUGUUUCCCUGGGUUCCAGAUUUGUGGAUUCAACCAACUGUGGCUCUAAAAUAUCUGGGGGGAAAAUGGCAUCUGUACUGAACAUGUACAUACUUCUUUUCUUGUCAUUCCUUAAACAAUACAGUAUAACUAUUUACAUAGCAUUUAUACUGUAUUAGGUAUUAUAAGUAAUCUAGAGAUUAUUUAAAAUAUACUGGAGGAUGUGCAUAGGUUAUAUGCACAUACUAUGCCAUUUUAUAUCAGAGAUUUGAGCAUCCAAGGAUUUGGGUAUCUGCAAAUUUUGGUAUUCUUGGGAGGUCCUGGAACCAAUCUCUUACAGAUACCAAAGGAUGGCUGUAUUCUCCAUUCCUUUUCACCAGCUGAGAUCGUACUGUUAUCUGCACUUAACAGAUUAAGAAAUAGGUGUGAUGAGUAAUUUGUUUAAAUUCUGUGGUUGAUUGUGUUACUUUUCGACUGUAUUCUGUGCUCUUCCCUACAGGAGGAUUAUUCAUUCCUGUUUACUUGAAUUCAGGCAACAUCAUGUAACUUGAUUUAAGGAACCGAUACAUGAGUGGAAAUUCUGUGUGGCAUUUCUGAGCAGAAGUUUUAUGAGGCAGCACAUGCUCACUGUGUUACCUGUUCCUUCUGCCAUGAGACUGGCAGAUGGACAUUCUCUAUCAGCCAGGAUAUCAGAAUGAAGAAAUGUAGAACAUAGACCAAAACACCAAUGAGAAAUAAGCGUUUGUUGUUUUAGGGAAAGUGUGUUACCACAGCAUAAUUUAACCUAUCCCAAGUGAAUACAUAUUCAUGGAGUUAAUAUCUAUACCUGAAAAUUGAAACUCAGGUUGUCUACAUCUAACUAUGCCUCUGUCUUUUCCAAAGGUAUAAAGUAGGAGAAACUUCCCCAUGAUCCUACUCUUCCAGUGUUAACUACAGUUAAAAUUUAGUGUAAAAUUGUUUAAUACUUUUUCCUAUGUGUAUGUCAAUGUUCAUUUUUUUAAAACUGGGACCACUUUAUAUGACACAUACUAUUUUAGAGCUUCCUUUUCCUACUUAGUAAUAUAAAAUGGACCACUGUCACAGGUUAGGUUUUCCAUAAACAGACACUGAGUUUGGAAUAUAAGAUUAUUUUCAGGGAUCAUCACCUUUAAAAGGAGAAGUGAAGAAGUAGGAUUGGGGAGAGCAAGAAGUAGAGCUGUGAUGCUGGCCCACAGAUGUCUCUCUGGGGUUCGUAUUGUUUGUCAGAGUUAUCCCAUAUCUUGUAGAAGUGGCCAUGCUUUUCAACCCACUCCUUACUCAGUGGCCUGAUGUGGGCUGCCCUGAGCAAGGUAGCUUUCUGCAGCUGAAGCAGACACUGAAGUUGCUGGCAGCUAACUCCAUCUUUGCAGCUGGGCAGCAAAUCCUUUCUUGAAGUGGGAUCUGGACAUUUAUAUUUGUCUAGCACAGUUCAUUUUUUGCAUCACUUGGAAACCCUUCUCUGUUUUCAUUCCUUUUGUUCUUAAUGUAUAUUCUCAAGCCUCUUGUCUACAAUCACUAGAUAAGUUUGUUGUAAACUGUCUUAACUAUAAAAUGAAGAAGGUAUAGGUAACUAUAAUAUGAAGAAUGCAUUGGAAGUGUAAAUUUUAAAGGAGUUUGCUGAUUAAUAACUCUUUUGUUGUAACUUUUGUUCAAUGAUGUUUGACAAAUACUUUUUUUUUUUUUAAUUUGAGGCAGAGUCUCACUCUGUUGCCCAAACUGGAAUGCAGUGGCAUGAUCUCAGCUCACUGCAACCUCCGCCUGUUGGGCUCAGAGAUCUUCCCGCCCCAGCCUCCCGAGGAGCUGGAACUACAGCCUUGUGCCACCACACCCAGCAAAUUUUUGUAUUUUAUUGCAGAGAUGGCAUUUCACCAUGUUGCCCAGGCUGGUCUUGAACUACUGGACUUAAGCAAUCCGCCCACCUGGGCCUCCCAAAGUGCUGAGAUUACAGGCAUGAGCCACCGCGCCUGGCUGACAAAUACUUUUUAAAAAUAUCCAAGUUUCUGGAUUUUAUUCACCUCUACAAAAAUGAUUUAAGUCCUGUAGAAACAUGUGCCCACAAAUGACACAGUAAUCUCCAGCAAUGUGUUCAACAGCACGUUGAGCAUAAUUGAGCAUAACAGACAUUUUUAAAUUUGUUGUCUCAAAUUCCAUUUAGAUUUGGCUAUUGAUGCAAAAUUAGGGAGGUCAUUUUUCACUAGAUUACUUUCAAUGCUGGAAUCCAUACUUAAAAAAAAAAAAAGAAGAAACUAGAUUUAGUAUAUCUUUCUUUGCCACUUCAGGCUUCCAAAGGAGAAAAAUUCAUGGAUAAGUCAUUAACUGUUACAAAUGCAUUAUGUCUUCAGUUGUGAUGGUUAUGAUAAAACAUGUUUAUUUUAUAUUUGUAAUUUAGUAAAAUUAGUUGAUUCAAGGAGCUCUAUCAUAAAUGGGAAGUAAUAAAAUGAUAAUAAUUAAAGCAGGUUAUUUUUCUCUGGUCAUUUUUGCAUUCUUUGUAGCUCAUGAAGUAGAUUUGUUGCUUUCAUCUGUGUCUGCCAUGUAUGCUAGGCAGGAAAGAAAGGAAGUAAGAAAGAUAUAGCCAUGUGGGGAAAGGAGACAGAGGGAAGGAGGAGGAAAGAGAAGGAAGGAAAUAAAAUCAACUCUUCGUUUUCUGCACUUUCCCUGAGCAAGUUCUUUUUUAUUUGUGUGUACAAUGAAUCUGCGUUUCUCCCUGCCACGCCCCCUCCCAACCCCUUUGGCUAAUAGAAAGCUCUGAAAAAAAUUUUGAAACUUAUAUCCAAAUGCAGUGGAUAUAAAUAAAGUUAUUUCCCCUGGCUUUUCAAAAAUAUGAGUGAGUGUUGGAUAUUAGAAAGCUACCUUACUUCUUUAGAUCGAGACCAUCCUGGCUAAUACGGU
RNAcentral lists this long non-coding RNA (16936 nucleotides) under Homo sapiens (human). RNAcentral's name for it is "non-protein coding lnc-FAM217A-1:4". The record is from RNAcentral. Lineage: Eukaryota; Metazoa; Chordata; Mammalia; Primates; Hominidae.